This 524-nucleotide ribosomal RNA is filed under the name Lamellaria sp. LACM 153488. RNAcentral describes it as "partial large subunit ribosomal RNA". It matches the Rfam family "Bacterial large subunit ribosomal RNA", at positions 1815 to 2616 of the family's 2925-position model. Lineage: Eukaryota; Metazoa; Mollusca; Gastropoda; Littorinimorpha; Velutinidae. The record is from RNAcentral.
AUGUCUUCUUGGUUUAAGCUUAUAAGAAGUCUGGCCUGCCCAGUGAAAUUUUAACGGCCGCGGUACUCUGACCGUGCGAAGGUAGCAUAAUCAUUUGUCUUAUAAUUGAAGUCUAGAAUGAAUGGCUAAACAAGAAUAAAGCUGUCUCUAACAUUUUAAUAAAACUUUAUUAUUAGGUUAAAAAGCCUAAAUAGUAUUAAAAGACGAGAAGACCCUAUCGAGCUUUAGGAAUAAAUUAGGAUUUUUAACAUUUAAUGAAGUAUAAAAACCCAAUUUAACUUUGGUUGGGGCGACCUGAGAACAUAUAAAGCUUCUCAUAUUUAAUAAAACUUGUUGGUUUAGAUCCACUACUAGUGACCAAAAGAAUUAGUUACCGUAGGGAUAACAGCAUAAUCUCUUUUGAGAGCUCAUAUCGAAAAGGAGGUUUGUGACCUCGAUGUUGGACCAAAAUAACCUAAAGAUGUAGAAGUCUUUAAGGGUUGGUCUGUUCGACCAUUAAAAUUUUACGUGAUCUGAGUUCAGAC